This is a long non-coding RNA of Microtus ochrogaster (prairie vole), 3174 nucleotides long. RefSeq lists it as uncharacterized. NCBI's taxonomy places the organism in Eukaryota, Metazoa, Chordata, Mammalia, Rodentia, Cricetidae. The record is from RefSeq and is a predicted model, not a curated record.
GCCACAGAUAAAUGCUGAGUCAACACACAAGGGAGACGGGAAUCUCAGAAAACCGCCACGGCAGCACUGCUACACAAGGAACAUGGCUUGUAAGCUGCAGAAGAGGAAACUGAGGCACUGAGGGUGUGCAGAAAAGCCUCCGAACGCCUGGUCUGGCUGUGGAAGUAGAGAGAUUGGAGGAAGCUACAUCAAGAUUGACAGGCUGCUGUCACGGAGCCCACCCGGAGCAGGAGGGAAAGAAGGAACUUGGAACCUGCUCCAGGCCUCCAAGGCCCUCUGGGAAAAGGAAAAUUGUUGUUGGCAAGUCAGCCUGGCUCCAGAAAUUGAUCCAGUGCCCCCCACUUGUCCGUGCAGCAGCAGACAGAGCUAAGAAUUUCGUUAGAAUUAAAUAACAGGGUGCUGAUUGGUUGCUGGAGGUGGUCUAGAAACUGGUGUUUAAAGACAGAGAACAAGGGUUACUAUUCAUAGGAAAAUCCCAGCGUCUUAAAAAUCCAUCUGUUUCAUUCCCAAAUUUAGGCCAAAAAAAUGCUCACUUGCUGUCUUUAAAAAUACCACCUGCUUGGCGAUGUUGUAUAAUGUACCAUUAUGUAAGGGGGAAGGGAGACAUAGGCUGCACGGGAGGAUGCUGUAUGGUUGGGCAAGGGCCCCUCCCUCCAAACACAGACACAGCCUUGCCCAGGCCAAACUCACCAAAGGCUGAGCCAUAGGCAUGGAAAGUCCUGCCAGUAGUACUACGUCGGUGAGCCGCAGCUGUUACAGGGGCCUGAGCCUGGUAUCUAUAGAGGCCCCCCUUGCCCUCACCUGUCCUUCCCUGGUCUCAUCUCUCUGCUCCCACUAUUGCAAUCUGCGUUGGCCUCAGCUAGGCUGCCAGGUGAGGAGGCUGAGGCUCCUGGAACCAAAGGGGAAGAGCUCUGGGCUCUGCUCGCCUGACGGCUACACAUCCCACCGUUACUAGAGAUAGUAGUGAUGGAACACAGGAACCAUAGGGGACAUCUCCAUUUCUCCUGAAUGAACCUAUGUCCUAGGUUGGCCUCACUGUGACGGUAUUUCUCAGCGCUCAGGAAAACGCUGGGAUCGAUCUGUUUCACUGUAAGAUUGUUAGUCACAGGUGAGUGGAGACAAUUGAUUCUAAACCAAAUGCGGCAGUGGGUGGGAGAGAAGGAAGGUAGGUACCAGGGAGAGGGGCUCAGGUGCUCAAAGUAUACUAGACAGUCCAAGAAUGUGGCUUUCUGUAAUCCUACCAAAGAUUGAUAACAAUAACAACAAAGAUGAUAACUGUCCCCAGAGACCGAAGCCUAAUAAUCUCAGCAAAACCACCGUAAGCUUUUUAGUGGGACGAAGCAUGGAUGACCGAAGAGAAAGAAGACUGGGCACUGGAUGAAAACUGCCCCUCAGUUUCCUACUAACUACAAUCUACUCACCUACUCUAUGGUAGAUGGACAGUCCACUUGUAUCAGUUUGGGCCAUUUAUGAAUGACGCUGCUAUGGCCAUGGAUUAACGUAUUCCAUAUGCCUUUUGGACAGUCCUUUAUUUGUGAAUUGCUGAGUCUCAAGUUUGAGGUUUUGUUUUCUUUUGAGUUAAUUUACCACAUAAGUUCUGUGUGGUGUCACGCUGCAGACACCUGCUGCCUUGCAGCUUGUCUUUUGUCUCUCCAAGUGACUCUGCGAUAAAUGCUCUUAGCAAACUGAGAGAGGAAUUUUCUUAACUUGAUAACACAUAUCUACAAAAACAUACAGCAGCCACCUUAUGUGUGGUGAACUAGGGCUUGUGCUUCUGUGAGUUUAGAAGAAAGAUAAGGAAGCUAGCAUUCUCAAGUCUGUUAUUCAACUUGCCAGAACAGACUUGAAUCUCUAAGCCUCAGUUUACGUGUGCGUAAAAUAGGAUCAGGAACUACAGUUACCUCAGGUAACUGCUGGAAAGAUUAAAUAAGACGAGAAAGGUGAUUGAUUCGAUGCUUAAGUGAUAGCGUUCGUUUGUAGUUAUCCCUGCUUUAUAGAAUUAUACCCCCAUGACCUGUGACAUUUGACCUUUCUGUUCUGUCAUCCAUGGGCAGGAUACAUUUUGUGCCCUCAUAGUGUAUGAGUAGCCUUAGGUUUUGACAAAGGACUGUGGUCAGAAUUAAGGAUGUUACCACUUCAAACAGUCUUAAGAUGAGUCAUUUCUGCUGUAACUUUAGGGAAACGGGUUGACUAUCUACAGCCUCAGAUAAAGGGAUGCAUUGAGCGCAAGUCCAGCUCAUCCCAGAGCCAAGUUCAGCCAUCAGAGCCACACCCCACACAGAUUAAAGCAAGAAAAAGAAAUGCUUGUUCUAGUAGACUUCUGGUUUUGGGGCUAGUGUGUUAUGUAGCAUUGUUGAAGAACUAGCUGGCAAAUACACUGGGCACAUAAGUGGAGCUUGAUCUAUAGGCCCUAUUUUACUUAAGUCUGUUUCUUCACCGGUGUAUGCUGCAUACUACUUUAAUACAGAACUGCUGAAAGGUGGGGGGGCUAACACACACACAAACUUUAUAUAUCUGAAGACAUAUGUCAGUGUCGAUGAAUAUUCAUUCAUAAACAAAUCAACAAGCAUUUUCCUCUACAAAAAUCUUCUAUGGUCAGUCACAGUUGGGAAAUAUAGGCAAGGUGAAAGAGGAGUCUAAAGCAGAGAGAGAGAGAGAGACAGAGACAGAGACAGAGAGGCAUGAGGGUCCAUGUCCACCCAUGUAGAGGUUAGAGCAGAAUGUCAGCUAUCUUUCCUUUAAAGAACUCCCCCAACUACCCCCUUGAGACAGGAUCUCCUACUGAACCUGAGACAGGAUCUCCUAGUGAAUCUAUAACCCACCAUCUGAGCUAAGGUGGCUGACCAUAGAGCUCCUGAGACUCACUAAACUCCACAGUGCUGGGGUUACAGAUGGGGGCCCAGAUUUUAAUGUGGGUCCUUGGGAUUCAAACUCAGGUGUUCUUGUGUACAGAGUGAGGGUUCUUACCCACUAAAGCCAUCUCCCUAUCCUAGACAUAAUUAAUUAGUGAACACUCUGAAGUUGCAAGAGGAAACAGAGUAUGAAAUGUUCCAAUAGUUUGGCCAAGUAGAAUCCAUAGGAUCAGAACCCCAACCAACCCAUCUGGGAGAAUACUAGUAUAAUAAGUUAAUAAUCUUUCCAUCACCAGAAAGUGAAAAGAUCUCCCAUGCUUUU